CCCUCACAGAGUUCCUGGAACUCUGCCUGCUUCAGCCGCCUUCCUCACUCGCUCCACUGGGGCCUCCGGAUCCACUCAAGAAUAAAAUCCCUUGCUCGGGUGACUGAAACUCCAUUGCAAGCCAGUGGCACACGCCUUUAAUCCCAGCACUCGGGAGGCAGAGGCAGGCCAAUCUCUGCAAGCCACAGAACGUGUACCUCCAAUUCCUCAGCUAUAAGACAGAGAAAACCGUUACUCCCAGGAGUAGGUCAACAUUUGGUAAAUUAAGACCUUGGAAACCACAUAUAUGUGUGUUGGGGGUAAGGAGUGGAUCAGAGACGCCCAAGUGUGCCACAUUAAGGACUUCAAGCUGGCGAUUAUGGACCAGAACACUGAGUGAGAAAUGACAGUCUUUACUUAGAGAGCUGACUAGACAAGAAGGUGGUCAGGUUAAUCUCCAAAGCACGGGUUCUGUCUUGCGUCUCAUCUCUUGCCAGCAGGCUUUGUAGGGAAGGGUGGAAACAAGGGUAGUCCAUCAGUCCUUCCAGGGUUCAGUCUCCCUCGUUGUCUAGAGAUCUGGACUCGGAGACUUUGAAAAUGUUGACUGGGGGACAAGUGAGGUGAUCCAUCGGGUAUAGGCUCCUGCUGACCGGAGGUCAAUCCCUGUGUCCCACAUGGUGGAAGGAGAGAUCGAGCUCUCACAAGUUGCCAUACAUGUGAACCACCAUGCAUGUAACACCCACACCCAAAAUAAAUGUAAGGAAAACUAAAA
Mesocricetus auratus (golden hamster) is the source of this 751-nucleotide long non-coding RNA. RefSeq lists it as uncharacterized. NCBI's taxonomy places the organism in Eukaryota, Metazoa, Chordata, Mammalia, Rodentia, Cricetidae. The transcript is spliced from 4 exons. The record is from RefSeq and is a predicted model, not a curated record.